GACGAACGCUGGCGGCGUGCUUAGCACAUGCAAGUCGAGCGGUAAGGCCCUUUCGGGGGUACACGAGCGGCGAACGGGUGAGUAACACGUGGGUGACCUGCCCUCAGCUCUGGGAUAAGCCUGGGAAACCGGGUCUAAUACCGGAUAUGACUCCAUGACGCAUGUUGUGGGGUGGAAAGCCUUGUGCGGCUGAGGAUGGGCCCGCGGCCUAUCAGCUUGUUGGUGGGGUGANGGCCUACCAAGGCGACGACGGGUAGCCGGCCUGAGAGGGCGACCGGCCACACUGGGACUGAGACACGGCCCAGACUCCUACGGGAGGCAGCAGUGGGGAAUCUUGCGCAAUGGGCGAAAGCCUGACGCAGCGACGCCGCGUGAGGGAUGACGGCCU
RNAcentral lists this ribosomal RNA (388 nucleotides) under uncultured bacterium. Its description in RNAcentral is "bacterial SSU rRNA". It matches the Rfam family "Bacterial small subunit ribosomal RNA", at positions 28 to 417 of the family's 1533-position model. The record is from RNAcentral.